Antechinus flavipes (yellow-footed antechinus) is the source of this 310-nucleotide long non-coding RNA. RefSeq lists it as uncharacterized. The transcript has 3 exons. The record is from RefSeq and is a predicted model, not a curated record. Lineage: Eukaryota; Metazoa; Chordata; Mammalia; Dasyuromorphia; Dasyuridae.
UUUCUGAAAGGUUUUCUUCCUUGGGAGCUGUUUCCUAACUCCUUCCCAUUCAUCUUUACUUCUCUUCUGUUUCUUAUUCCCCUAUUUCUCUUCAACCUUCUCUCAUCCUCCGUCUGCUUAAUGUAUAAAAUUUAUACUUAAUUUUCUUUUAUGAAUUGUUUUCCCUGUAAGAUAUGCUGCAAAAAAAAAAGAAAAGUUACUCCUAUCUCUGAUGACAGUAACCAAAUUUCCAUACCCAGUCUUGUGAAUGGAGAUAGUGACCUUGGAUCUGAUACACAGGAGUCACCCAAACCAUCCCACCCAGCACCUG